AUGGAGUCCAGCCCGUCCUCGGCGGAAUUCGACCACCGCCCCCGUUCCUACCACCUCGCCCUCUGCUCGCCUCCGGCCUCCCCCCACCCCGCUCCCCAGCCCUCGCCGCCCGCUGCACGUCUCGGACCCCGCUCCGAGGUGCACCGGGUCGAGCACGAGACUGGUGAUGCCGCUGCUGAUGGUGGUGGCUGGGAGGUCGCGCACAGCCGCCGCCGUCCUCGCCCUCCUAGUCUGCGUCGCCGCCGGUGCGACGACCAUGGCGGGCGCGCUCGCAACCCCCUCCUCCCCGCGCCUUGGGGAGUGCCCGCGCUGCCUUGGCACCGGGCACCCGCGCUCCGAGUGCCGGAAGGACGUGCGCUGCCGCCGUUGCCGUUUUUUCGGCCACAUCGCGAGGUUCUGCACGACCCCCCGCUCGUCCUCUCCGGAGGGCGCGCCGGCGGCCAAGCGCAUGCGCCCGUCGUCCCCCCGCUCCAUCGGUUCUUCGGCUUCGAGUGUCGCGGGCCCAUCCCCACCCGUGUUCUCCGGGCCUGGGCUGGGUUCGUCCUCGGCCUCCACCGCCGCCACCACCACCUUCUCCGCCGCGGUCACUCCCUCGCCGCCUCCCUCGACCACUCCUUCCCUCCCCGCGGCCUUGCUUGUCCCAGCUCGCCGUCCGCGCCCGCCUCCCUGUCGGGCCACCCCGCCUUGCGGCCGGCUGGCGCCGUCUGCUACCUCCCCCGCUCCGCUCGGUUGGAGGAGGCAGAGCGCGCUCUGGACCUUGCCCUGACCGCCAUCGUCGCCGGGAACCGCUCUGGGAUCUCUGCCGCCGACGUGGCGUGCGUGCUGCGGGAGCGCUUCCAGCUCACGCCGACGGACUUCUCCAUCCGCCGUCGCCGUGACGACGAGUUCCUACUCCGCUUUCGCGAUGCUGCUACCCGUGCUCUCGUGGCCGCGAGACCCAUCCGCGCCGCCAAGUUUCGGUUGCUCAUUCACCCCUGGAGUCGCCUCGCCGGGGCCGAGACGGUCUCCCUCCGCAAAUCCGUCGACAUCGAGAUCACCGGCAUUCCGGAGCAUGGCUGGGAUAUUUCCUAUACCGUGCAGCUCCUCGCCCCGUUCUGCCUCGUCGACCGGCUUGCCCCCGAGACGCUGGACGGCAGCGACAUGUCGGUCUUCCGGCUGACGGCCCGGACCACCAACCCCGACGCCAUUCCAUGCUCCUCCGAGCUCCUUCUGGCUGAGCCUGACGACCUUGCCGGUGCAAACCCGGACCUCGUCGAUCGGUUCGCUGUGCAGAUGCUGCGUUUUCCAUCAAUUCACGUUCGACACGCCGCCAACUACCGCUUCCCCGCCCCUCCACCCCCGCCUCCGCCCGCCAGCCUGGACGGCGAUGGCGGCCCCGCGCCCUCCCCCUCCUCCGGAGGCGUGGCCUCGCCGGCACGACUUCCCGCCGCCUGCUACUGA
This 1440-nucleotide ribosomal RNA is filed under the name Triticum aestivum (bread wheat). RNAcentral's name for it is "partial small subunit ribosomal RNA". The record is from RNAcentral. Lineage: Eukaryota; Viridiplantae; Streptophyta; Magnoliopsida; Poales; Poaceae.